GACGAACGCUGGCGGCGUGCUUAACACAUGCAAGUCGAACGGGCCCGCUCUCUUUUUUGGGGGUGGGUUGAGUGGCGAACGGGUGAGUAUCACGUGAGUAACCUGCCCCCUGCUCCUGGAUAACUGCUUGAAAGGGCGGCUAAUACGGGGUGUGCCGGCUGGUCCGCAUGGGCCUGGUCGGGAUAGUUUCAUCUUCGGGUGUUUCGGUGGGGGAUGGGCUCGCGGCCUAUCAGCUUGUUGGUGGGGUGAUGGCCCACCAAGGCGGUGACGGGUAGCCGGCCUGAGAGGGUGGGCGGCCACACUGGGACUGAGACACGGCCCAGACGCCUGCGGGAGGCAGCAGUGGGGGGUAUUGCACAAUGGGCGGAAGCCUGAUGCAGCGACGUCGCGUGAGGGAUGGAGGCCUUCGGGUUGUGAAACUCUUUCUCCGGUGGUGAAGGCCCUGUCCGUUGCGGCGGGGUUGACGGUAGCCGGGGAUGAAGCGCCGGCUAACUACGUG
RNAcentral lists this ribosomal RNA (499 nucleotides) under uncultured bacterium. Its description in RNAcentral is "partial 16S ribosomal RNA". It matches the Rfam family "Bacterial small subunit ribosomal RNA", at positions 28 to 507 of the family's 1533-position model. The record is from RNAcentral.